This 61-nucleotide microRNA precursor is filed under the name Xenopus laevis (African clawed frog). RNAcentral describes it as "Xla-Mir-26-P1c_pre stem-loop". It matches the Rfam family "mir-26 microRNA precursor family", at positions 12 to 70 of the family's 81-position model. Rfam says of the family: The hairpin precursors (represented here) are predicted based on base pairing and cross-species conservation -- their extents are not known. In this case the mature sequence is excised from the 5' arm of the hairpin. The record is from RNAcentral. RNAcentral also lists the same sequence under 1 other name. Lineage: Eukaryota; Metazoa; Chordata; Amphibia; Anura; Pipidae.
UUCAAGUAAUCCAGGAUAGGCUGUUCACAUUCUGCGUGGCCUAUUCUUGAUUACUUGCAUU